RNAcentral lists this long non-coding RNA (484 nucleotides) under Canis lupus dingo (dingo). Its description in RNAcentral is "lncRNA (ENSCAFG00020012322.1)". The record is from RNAcentral. Lineage: Eukaryota; Metazoa; Chordata; Mammalia; Carnivora; Canidae.
CAAAACAAAGGCCAUACCAGUUUGUUUAUCUCAGGGUGACAGUUUCAUAAUGGAUUAGAGAGAAAAGAUGUCCUGGAGAAACUGCUCUAAACUCUGAGGAGGGUCAUCACCUUUGCCUGUAAGUAUAUCUUCCAUUUGGAUGCAAAUGCUUGUAUUCUUGGGGUUCUUUUUCAAAUAUUCAAACACUAAAAUGUCCUUUACAUUUUCUCCUGAGGAAUCGACCAGUGUACAGUUCUGUACCCAUGCCCGUUAUGACCGUCUUUGAUUCGUUGACCAAUGUGGCUUACGUCAUCCACUUAUGCUGUCUCUCCUGAGUGGUGAUGCUGUGGCUGUGACACUUGGUAACAAGAUCCUAAGCCAUGUUCGGAGACUCAUUCCUACUACAGUGGCCGUGGCUUGUGCCAGCGAACUGAACUCCUCAACCAUUAUAACAUCCAGUGUUAACAGUUAUUCCUCCCAUAUCCGUGGAGCAACCCUCAUCUGA